GGUACAUUUUUUAAACUUUCAAGUUUCAAUGUUCCAUAGAUCUAGAACAACUACCUUUCCUUUUGUAAAAAAAUUUUUCAGGGAUUUUUUCGUUAUGUCUACCGUUGGUGCUGAUAUGAUUUUUAUUACUUGGCCGAGGAGGAUUCAACAUUUUUAUCCAUUCUUCACACGAGGUAGAAGCAGAUCUCGGUUUACUGCUCCAGAUUCUUGUGAACCAACGGUUAAGCGAGUGUAGGUUACAGAAUGAGUUAUGUUUGUACAUGCACUUUUUUUUGUUCUUAUAUAUGAUUUAGUUUCUUUCGUCCUUGUCCUGAAACUUUCUGUAAUGUUCCACUCUCAGGAAAGCUUCCACUGAAAGGAGAGAAGUAUUCUUUGAGGCUAUGUCUGACAAAGUAGCAGAUAGUUCUUCUGAGAGAACGACUAGUCCUUUAGAAUCAGACAGCGACGCAUUUUAUAAAAAUCUUGAUCCCCUCUUUUCUGUAUUACAUUUUUGUAAGUUGUUAAGUUCAAAAAAAAUCAAGAAGAAGAGUUAAAAGAUUAAAUUGAAUUCUGCAGGGUAAACCAGAUUAAACCAGAAGAUGUGGUUGCCCAGCGAGGAUGAGGCUGCUGAAAUGUGCUACUGGGAAAAAUGGUGCAAAACGACGUACAGUGUGAUUCUUGAUAACACAUGUCAGAGUUAAAUGAGGGGAACAACCAUGGGAAGGAAUGGAUCAAGCUAAAACAAGAACUAUGGUUCAGAUCGAAGCCUUACCCUAACAUCUUGGGCUCCUCGCUGCUCCACGACCUCGCCGCCAACAAGCUAGCGGCCCCUCACCCCGCCGCAUACCGGCUAGAAACACAACGGCGACGAGGUGCACUAGCGCCCAACCUGAGACUGCGCUGCCGCUCAGUGCGACGAGCCGAAUCCACAGUGUACUAGAAACCCUAGCCCUCAAUGGGGAAAGCUGAAAUGUUUUGGAGAGAGAGGAGAGUCAAAUGUUCAGCCUUGGCUUCUGCUAUAAUAGAGGGACUGAAAGCAUUUUGGCACAUAACAUAGGGACAUUUUUGCAUAAACAACCAACAAUGUGGGAAGUGUUUCGAUCUGAGCAGUACACUUUUCAUCCGACGGUCCACAUUGAAGAUUGCAUUUCUCCCACCGAAUAG
Non-coding RNA from Oryza sativa Japonica Group (Japanese rice), 1143 nucleotides. NCBI's taxonomy places the organism in Eukaryota, Viridiplantae, Streptophyta, Magnoliopsida, Poales, Poaceae. The record is from RefSeq and is a predicted model, not a curated record.